This 447-nucleotide ribosomal RNA is filed under the name uncultured bacterium. RNAcentral's name for it is "bacterial SSU rRNA". It matches the Rfam family "Bacterial small subunit ribosomal RNA", at positions 355 to 825 of the family's 1533-position model. The record is from RNAcentral.
UGGGGAAUAUUGGACAAUGGGCGCAAGCCUGAUCCAGCCAUGCCGCGUGAGUGACGAAGGUCUUCGGAUUGUAAAACUCUUUUGGCGGGGACGAUAAUGACGGUACCCGCAGAAUAAGCCCCGGCUAACUUCGUGCCAGCAGCCGCGGUAAUACGAAGGGGGCUAGCGUUGUUCGGAAUCACUGGGCGUAAAGCGCACGUAGGCGGAUGUGCCAGUCAGGGGUGAAAUCCCGGAGCUCAACUCCGGAACUGCCUCUGAUACAGCACGUCUUGAGUUCGAGAGAGGUGGGUGGAAUUCCUAGUGUAGAGGUGAAAUUCGUAGAUAUUAGGAAGAACACCGGUGGCGAAGGCGGCUCACUGGAUCGGUACUGACGCUGAGGUGCGAAAGCGUGGGGAGCAAACAGGAUUAGAUACCCUUGUAGUCCCUGAGCGGGCUGGCAAGGCGCAU